GGGAUCCUCCAUAUGCUGAACGCUGGUUCCCCGGGUCCCCUUCUUUCUUUCUCUAUACUUUGUCUCUGUGUCUUUUUCUUUUCCAAAUCUCUCGUCCCACCUUACGAGAAACACCCACAGGUGUGUAGGGGCAACCCACCCCUACAUCUGGUGCCCAACGUGGAGGCUUUUCUCUAGGGUGAAGGUACGCUCGAGCGUGGUCAUUGAGGACAAGUCGACGAGAGAUCCCGAGUACAUCUACAGUCAGCCUUACGACAUUUGAAGUUCUACAAUGAACCCAUCAGAGAUGCAAAGAAAAGCACCUCCGCGGAGACGGAGACAUCGCAAUCGAGCACCGUUGACUCACAAGAUGAACAAAAUGGUGACGUCAGAAGAACAGAUGAAGUUGCCAUCCACCAAGAAGGCAGAGCCGCCAACUUGGGCACAACUAAAGAAGCUGACGCAGUUAGCUACAAAAUAUCUAGAGAACACAAAGGUGACACAAACCCCAGAGAGUAUGCUGCUUGCAGCCUUGAUGAUUGUAUCAAUGGUGGUAAGUCUCCCUAUGCCUGCAGGAGCAGCUGCAGCUAACUAUACCUACUGGGCCUAUGUGCCUUUCCCGCCCUUAAUUCGGGCAGUCACAUGGAUGGAUAAUCCUACAGAAGUAUAUGUUAAUGAUAGUGUAUGGGUACCUGGCCCCAUAGAUGAUCGCUGCCCUGCCAAACCUGAGGAAGAAGGGAUGAUGAUAAAUAUUUCCAUUGGGUAUCAUUAUCCUCCUAUUUGCCUAGGGAGAGCACCAGGAUGUUUAAUGCCUGCAGUCCAAAAUUGGUUGGUAGAAGUACCUACUGUCAGUCCCAUCUGUAGAUUCACUUAUCACAUGGUAAGCGGGAUGUCACUCAGGCCACGGGUAAAUUAUUUACAAGACUUUUCUUAUCAAAGAUCAUUAAAAUUUAGACCUAAAGGGAAACCUUGCCCCAAGGAAAUUCCCAAAGAAUCAAAAAAUACAGAAGUUUUAGUUUGGGAAGAAUGUGUGGCCAAUAGUGCGGUGAUAUUACAAAACAAUGAAUUCGGAACUAUUAUAGAUUGGGCACCUCGAGGUCAAUUCUACCACAAUUGCUCAGGACAAACUCAGUCGUGUCCAAGUGCACAAGUGAGUCCAGCUGUUGAUAGCGACUUAACAGAAAGUUUAGACAAACAUAAGCAUAAAAAAUUGCAGUCUUUCUACCCUUGGGAAUGGGGAGAAAAAGGAAUCUCUACCCCAAGACCAAAAAUAGUAAGUCCUGUUUCUGGUCCUGAACAUCCAGAAUUAUGGAGGCUUACUGUGGCCUCACACCACAUUAGAAUUUGGUCUGGAAAUCAAACUUUAGAAACAAGAGAUCGUAAGCCAUUUUAUACUAUUGACCUGAAUUCCAGUCUAACAGUUCCUUUACAAAGUUGCGUAAAGCCCCCUUAUAUGCUAGUUGUAGGAAAUAUAGUUAUUAAACCAGACUCCCAGACUAUAACCUGUGAAAAUUGUAGAUUGCUUACUUGCAUUGAUUCAACUUUUAAUUGGCAACACCGUAUUCUGCUGGUGAGAGCAAGAGAGGGCGUGUGGAUCCCUGUGUCCAUGGACCGACCGUGGGAGGCCUCGCCAUCCGUCCAUAUUUUGACUGAAGUAUUAAAAGGUGUUUUAAAUAGAUCCAAAAGAUUCAUUUUUACUUUAAUUGCAGUGAUUAUGGGAUUAAUUGCAGUCACAGCUACGGCUGCUGUAGCAGGAGUUGCAUUGCACUCUUCUGUUCAGUCAGUAAACUUUGUUAAUGAUUGGCAAAAAAAUUCUACAAGAUUGUGGAAUUCACAAUCUAGUAUUGAUCAAAAAUUGGCAAAUCAAAUUAAUGAUCUUAGACAAACUGUCAUUUGGAUGGGAGACAGACUCAUGAGCUUAGAACAUCGUUUCCAGUUACAAUGUGACUGGAAUACGUCAGAUUUUUGUAUUACACCCCAAAUUUAUAAUGAGUCUGAGCAUCACUGGGACAUGGUUAGACGCCAUCUACAGGGAAGAGAAGAUAAUCUCACUUUAGACAUUUCCAAAUUAAAAGAACAAAUUUUCGAAGCAUCAAAAGCCCAUUUAAAUUUGGUGCCAGGAACUGAGGCAAUUGCAGGAGUUGCUGAUGGCCUCGCAAAUCUUAACCCUGUCACUUGGGUUAAGACCAUUGGAAGUACUACGAUUAUAAAUCUCAUAUUAAUCCUUGUGUGCCUGUUUUGUCUGUUGUUAGUCUGCAGGUGUACCCAACAGCUCCGAAGAGACAGCGACCAUCGAGAACGGGCCAUGAUGACGAUGGCGGUUUUGUCGAAAAGAAAAGGGGGAAAUGUGGGGAAAAGCAAGAGAGAUCAGAUUGUUACUGUGUCUGUGUAGAAAGAAGUAGACAUAGGAGACUCCAUUUUGUUAUGUACUAAGAAAAAUUCUUCUGCCUUGAGAUUCUGUUAAUCUAUGACCUUACCCCCAACCCCGUGCUCUCUGAAACAUGUGCUGUGUCCACUCAGGGUUAAAUGGAUUAAGGGCGGUGCAGGAUGUGCUUUGUUAAACAGAUGCUUGAAGGCAGCAUGCUCCUUAAGAGUCAUCACCACUCCCUAAUCUCAAGUACCCAGGGACACAAAAAGUGCGGAAGGCCGCAGGGACCUCUGCCUAGGAAAGCCAGGUAUUGUCCAACGUUUCUCCCCAUGUGAUAGCCUGAAAUAUGGCCUCGUGGGAAGGGAAAGACCUGACCGUCCCCCAGCCCGACACCCGUAAAGGGUCUGUGCUGAGGAGGAUUAGUAAAAGAGGAAGGAAUGCCUCUUGCAGUUGAGACAAGAGGAAGGCAUCUGUCUCCUGCCUGUCCCUGGGCAAUGGAAUGUCUCGGUAUAAAACCCGAUUGUAUGCUCCAUCUACUGAGAUAGGGAAAAACCGCCUUAGGGCUGGAGGUGGGACCUGCGGGCAGCAAUACUGCUUUGUAAAGCACUGAGAUGUUUAUGUGUAUGCAUAUCUAAAAGCACAGCACUUAAUCCUUUACAUUGUCUAUGAUGCAAAGACCUUUGUUCACAUGUUUGUCUGCUGACCCUCUCCCCACAAUUGUCUUGUGACCCUGACACAUCCCCCUCUUCGAGAAACACCCACAGAUGAUCAGUAAAUACUAAGGGAACUCAGAGGCUGGCGGGAUCCUCCAUAUGCUGAACGCUGGUUCCCCGGGUCCCCUUCUUUCUUUCUCUAUA
This is a long non-coding RNA of Homo sapiens (human), 3204 nucleotides long. Lineage: Eukaryota; Metazoa; Chordata; Mammalia; Primates; Hominidae. The record is from Ensembl.